CUUUUGUCCAGUCUAAAGUCCUAGAAACAGUACCAGACCAGUGUCAAGGAAGAUCCAUGACAUACAGGCAACAUGAACACUGGGAGGGACCAAGACUUGAGAAUGGGCUGAUUCGAAGUGUGAAGCUGGAAUAAGCCAGGUGAGCCUGGUAAACCUUGUGGUUCCAGUAACCAAAGAAUCUAUGCAAGCUGAUAGGGCUGUGUCAGAAUGGUUCCCCAGGAGCUGAUUUGAAGGAACUUCUACUGAUGCAAGGUAAUUUGAGCAUAAAAAAAAAAAAUAGUGGCUACAAUUGAUUGACUCAUUGAAAAUAUUUAAAAAGUCUUAUGCGUUCACAAUGAUACAGAUAUAAUAUGAAAACAGGUAGAAAAUCACUAAAUAAAAACAAAAGCAAAUACAUUGGUAGCCACUGCAGCAAAGCAGAACACCAACUGCUUAAAAAUUAGUAGAUUAAAGGGAAAGAGUGAUUUAUGUUUUUUUUUUUUUUAAAGAUCACUGUGGCCUCUGUGUGCGGAGUAGGUGGACUACACACUGCCAGCGAUGUGUAGAUGAAAGAGCAGCGCCUGGCCUCCUAGAGCUCACGUCUCCAGUGGGGAUGGCUGCCCUGGAUCAGCUGCUUCAGAUUUUCGUCUCUCCAAAUAUGAUGGUGUACAAACUGGUGUGGGGCCCUGGCUAUCCACAGUCUUCUCAGGAGUGUUAGCAGUACCUGAAGUCUUUUUUUUCUUCUUCUUAGGUAUGCCAGAAGUUUUCUUCUUCUUUGAAGGUACAUUUACCACCUGGCCAUUUGUAGAUUUCUGAAGAUCAGUGCUUCCAACAUUUUUCCCUUUCUGUAAAAUCAAUGAGGGAAAAUCAUAAUCAAGAAUUGACAUUUUUUCAAUAAAUGCGUGGUAAUAUUCA
This 894-nucleotide long non-coding RNA is filed under the name Oryctolagus cuniculus (rabbit). RNAcentral's name for it is "lncRNA (ENSOCUG00000038054.1)". Lineage: Eukaryota; Metazoa; Chordata; Mammalia; Lagomorpha; Leporidae. The record is from RNAcentral.